AGAGUUUGAUCAUGGCUCAGGAUGAACGCUGGCGGCGUGCUUAACACAUGCAAGUCGAACGAAGCACUUUAACGGAUUUCCUUCGGGGAUGAAGAUUUUGUGACUGAGUGGCGGACGGGUGAGUAACGCGUGGGCAACCUGCCUCAUACAGGGGGAUAACAGUUGGAAACGACUGCUAAUACCGCAUAAGCGCACGGGACCGCAUGAUCCUGUGUGAAAAACUCCGGUGGUAUGAGAUGGGCCCGCGUCUGAUUAGCUGGUUGGCAGGGCAGCGGCCUACCAAGGCGACGAUCAGUAGCCGACCUGAGAGGGUGACCGGCCACAUUGGGACUGAGACACGGCCCAAACUCCUACGGGAGGCAGCAGUGGGGAAUAUUGCACAAUGGGGGAAACCCUGAUGCAGCGACGCCGCGUGAGCGAAGAAGUAUUUCGGUAUGUAAAGCUCUAUCAGCAGGGAAGAAAUGACGGUACCUGACUAAGAAGCACCGGCUAAAUACGUGCCAGCAGCCGCGGUAAUACGUAUGGUGCAAGCGUUAUCCGGAUUUACUGGGUGUAAAGGGAGCGCAGGCGGAAGGCUAAGUCUGAUGUGAAAGCCCGGGGCUCAACCCCGGUACUGCAUUGGAAACUGGUCAUCUAGAGUGUCGGAGGGGUAAGUGGAAUUCCUAGUGUAGCGGUGAAAUGCGUAGAUAUUAGGAGGAACACCAGUGGCGAAGGCGGCUUACUGGACGAUGACUGACGCUGAGGCUCGAAAGCGUGGGGAGCAAACAGGAUUAGAUACCCUGGUAGUCCACGCCGUAAAC
Molecule: ribosomal RNA, 800 nt
Filed under: uncultured bacterium
Lineage: Bacteria
Description: bacterial SSU rRNA
Rfam family: Bacterial small subunit ribosomal RNA
Source: RNAcentral